UUGCUAAGUCGAAACUUCAAAAAAUCAUAACUUCCUCAUACGAAGCCAGAUUUAGACGUUCUUUUCACGCAUGCUCUCGGUUUAACGUAUUCUACGACUUUCGUUCAGAUUGCUAAGCCUAAAAAUCUCUCUAUUGUAAAUUCACUAUUUACGUCAUGCAAUAUCGUAUCGGUUCUAUCGCGGAACUUCUACAGGUCAUAACUUCUUCUUUAUAACUCGGAUUUCGGCAUUCUUUAUAUAUCUGGAAUCCUUGUCACGACCACUUCAACUUCCUUCAUGGAUAUUAGGUUUAUCUAAUAUUUUAUUUUAACACUUAUUUUUAUCCUUAAUUCAUUUAAGUCACACAAUUAAGCAUAAAACACAUAAUACUCAAAUAAUACAUUUUUAUUAUUUCAAAACGAGUUACAAAGUUUAACCUAGACUAUUACAUCAUCAUUAAUGCCUAGCCAAGAAACACGGGCAUUAGAAUUCUCUCCCCCUUAGGAUGAUUCCGUCCCCAGAAUCACACAUCAACAAACAAAUGCGGAUAGCGACUCAUCAUGUCACUCUCCGUUUCGUAUAUUUCCAACUGACAAGCACUAAUUCGACCAUCUUACGUCGCUGCUUCUUUGUCUUACGGUCAACGAUUGCCUCUGGUUUUUCAAUUAACCUCUUGUUUUCAUCAAUCCUUAAUUUAGAAAUUGGAAUUAUGUCGGGAACUUCCCCCGUGAACUUCCUCAAAUAACACACAUGGAAAGUGUUAUAAAUACCAUUCAGUUCUUCGGGUAAUUCGAGCUUGUAAGCUUGGUUCCCAAUCCUAUGAAGAACUUUAAACAGUCCUAUAAAUCUUGGACUUAACUUUCCCCUUUUACCAAAUCUUAUAAGUCCCUUCCAUGGUGAGACGGUAAGCAAAAUCGAAUCCCCAACUUCAGAUGUCAUCGGUAUUCGCUUUAUGUCAGCAUAGUUAUUUUAACGAUCUUGAGCCACUAACAUUCUCUCCCUAAUUAUUUUCAGCUUUUCAACAGUCUGAUGGACUAUCUCGGGUCCCAUAAACUGCUUUCCUCAGCCUCAAGCCAACAAGACGGCGUACGACACCUCUGUCCGUACAAAGCUUGAUAAGGUGUCAUCUUAACGCUCGAGUGGAAACUAUUAUUGUAGGAAAAUUCUACCAAAGGUAAAUGUUUAUCCCAGUUACCUUGGAAUUACAGGGUACAUACUCUCAGCAUAUCUUCAAGUGUUUGUAUUGUUUGUUCGCUCUGACCAUCAGUCUGUGGAUGGUAAGCUGUACUCAAACACAAAUUGGUAUCCAAUUCCUCUUGUAGACUCCUCAAAAAUCUUGAGGUGAAACGGCUGUCACGAUCUGAUACAAUCUCUAAUGGAACACUGUGAAGCCUCACAAUUUCCUUCACGUAAGAAUUCACAAGCUUAUCCAUAGACCAUUUCUCAUUGGCUGCUAUGAAGUGCACACUCUCAGUGAAGCGAUCAACGACCACCCAAAUCAUGUUGUGACCGUUCUUUGUUCUGGGCAGUUUAGUGACAAAAUCCAUAGCAAUGUCUUCCCAUUUACCCAUAGGUACAGGUAAAGGUUCUAAACUCCCAUAUGGUUUCUGAUGUUGUGGCUUAACUCUAGCACAUGUCACACACUCUGCCACAUACCUUGUGAUAUCAAGCUUCAUCGUCGGCAACUAGUAGUAAGGUUUUAGGUCCCUAUACAUUUUAGUGCUGCCGGGAUGAAUUGAGUACAUGGUUUUGUGAGCUUCUUCCAUCAGAAGAUAUCUUAUUCCUCCUGACUUAGUCACCCAAAUUCGAUCUUGGAAUACCUUCAGUCGGUGACUGUUUAUACCGAACACUAACGUUUUGCCCAAACGUUCUUCCUUUCGGUCAUUCUUCUCAGAAGCUUCUUCUUGAGCUUUCUUUAUACUCUCCACAAUUGUCGAGACAACUUCUAUUCUCAACGCUCUUGGCCUUUUUCUUUCAAGAUUGACUUUCCGACUGAGAGCAUCAGCAACAACGUUGGCUUUACCAGGGUGGUAAAGUAUCUCACAGUCGUAGUCCUUAAGUAACUCUAGCCAGCGUCUUUGCCUCAUAUUCAAUUCUUUAUGAUUAAAGAGAUAUUGGAUACUCAUAUGAUCAGUGAAAAGUUUGCACUUCGUGCCAUAGAGGUAAUGCCUCCAUAUCUUUAGAGCAAAUACUAUCGCUGCCAACUCUAAAUCAUGAGUGGCUAGUUCUUUUCAUGCUCUUUCAGUUGUCGAGACGCAUAUGCUAUCACCUUUCUCUUUGGGUCAAAACACAACCCAACCCAACCCUAAACUCAUCGCUAUAGACAGCGAAGUCCUUAACUCCGUCGGGUAGAGAAAGAAUCGGUGCUUCACAUAGCUUCUUCUUUAGCAACGUGAAUGCUUCUUUGUGCUUAUCACUCCAAGUAUAAGUAGCUCCUUUGUGGGUCAAAGCUUUCAUUGGAGUAGCGAUCGAAGAAAAGCCUUGGAUAAACCUUCGGUAAUAUCCGGCUAAUCCCAGAAAGCUUCAGAUCUCUGUGGGACUUUUUGGUUGUUCCCACUUCAUCACAUCUUCAAUCUUUGUUGGAUCAAUCAUUAUCCAUUUUUAGUUGACCAUGUGACCCAAGAAUUGGACUUCUCAACUCCAAAAAUCACAUUUGGAGAACUUUGCAUACAACUCUCCUUCUUCAAGACUUCUAACACUUCUCGCAAGUGUCUGCCGUGCUCUUCUUGGCUUUUCGAGUUAAUCAGAAUGUCAUCUAUGAACAUUAUCACAGAUUUAUCGAGGAAAGGUUAACAAGCCCUAUUCAUCAAAUCCAUGAAUGCUGUUGGAGCAUUGAUUAGUCAAAACGACAUAACCAAAAACUCAUAAUGUGCAUAUCGUGUUCUGAAUGCAGUCUUCUUGAUAUCCUGCUCUCUCACCUUCAGCUGAUGAUAUCUUGACCUUAGUUCGAUCUUUGAAAAAUAGCUUGAACCUUGUAGUUGAUCGAACAUGUCAUCAAUCCUUGGCAAUGGAUAUCUAUUAUUUAUCGUUGCCUUAUUCAGCUCUUUGUAAUCAAUGCACAUUCUCAUACUACCGUCCUUUUUCUUUACGAACAACACCAGAUCUCCCCAUGGUGAUGAACUAGGUCUAAUGAAAUCUUUUUCCAAUAAUUCUUGAAGUUGUAUCAUAAGCUCAUUCAUCUCUGUUGGCGCUAGUCGGUAAGGUGCUUUUGCUAUUGACGUCGUUCCUGGUAACAAGUCGAUACAAAAUUCUACUUGUCGAUCAGGCGGUAAUCCAGGAAGAUCUUCAGGAAAUACUUCCGAAUAAUCACACACCAUAGGAAUGCUCUGCAUCUCCUUUUUCUCCUUCUUUGCAUUAAUCACAAAUGCCAAAUAUGAUGUACAUCCUUCGGCCAAACACUUUCUGGCUUUCAUUAGAGAAAUAAUCCUAGAAUUUACUCUGCGUUUUCCCUAUACACCAUAAAUGACUCUUUCCCUGGCGGGUUUACUUUUACUAUCUUCUUCCUGCAUAAUAUUUCAGCAUCGUUGGCACUAAGCGAAAUCAUUCCCAGCACGAUGUCGAAACCAUUUAGCUCAAUAGACAAUAAUUCCUCGUGGAACAUAUUCCCAUUUAAAUCAAUUAAGAUGUUUUUCAUAUGAUGGCUAAUAGGUACAAAUUUGCCACUAGCAACUUCAACUAAUAAAACAUUAUCUAGUCUAUCGACAGGCAAAACUAGUUUUUUACCAAAUUCAUGCGAAAUAAAGGAAUAGUUGGCUCCAUAAUCAAAUAAAAUUUGGGCAGGUAAUUUGUUUACGAGAAAGGUACCUGAAGCGACAUCAGCUUCAUCCUUUGCAGCUUCAAGUGUCGUUUGAAAGGCUCUCGCCUUCGGUUUUGGUGGAAUGUUGGGUUUUGCUGCCUCCUUCUUUUUCGGACAGUCUCUUGAUAUGUGCCCCUCCUCACCGCACCCAUAGCAUACUUUCUUGGUGACGGUGCACUCGUCUGCAUAGUGUCCUGGCUUUCCACAUUUAAAACAUGUGACUUCCCCAUCAUAUUUCCCAUGAUGCUUCUUCUUGCAUUUGUCGCACCAUAUCGCUUCACCUCCUCCUCCUCUCGAACUAGACUUUGAGAAUUUACCCUUUUUGUUGUUAGACCUCGAAGGUCCGUUGAACUUUCUCUUCUCCCCAACAUCUGUCAUCUCCAGACCCUUCUCCCUGAAUCGGGUCUCAACAUUCUUAGCAGCCCAAAUGGCGGCUUUCAAAGUGGUUAUUUGCUUAACCAUUGGACCAAAGUACGUUGGUAGUUCGAGGUCAAACUUGUUGACCUUAGAGAGUUUAGUUGGAACUAAAUAUGGAAUAAACUUCAUCUUUUCCGUAAAAAUAGCAGCGUAUUCAGUAACACUCAUUCUUCCCUUCUUCAAAUUCUGAAACUCAUUAUUGAUUUCCAGAAGGUCCUGCUCAGAGCAGUAUUGCAAUUUCAGUUGCACCACAAAGUCUUCCCUAGACAUCUUGCUAGCUUCUCACUUGGGAAUCAUCAGGUAACAGCUUCCACCAACUCAAUACUCCAUAUUUUAACAAAAGGACUGCAAGAGCGGUCUUCUGUCUGUUGUUGCAUUCGCAACUCUCGAACAUUGUCUCCAUUCCGGAGACCCAAUUUAUAACUUCCACCGGCGUCGGGCUUCCGAAUAGACACGAUGGUUUGGAUGCCAUGAAAUCUUUGUACUUGCAUCCACGUUCGUCGUUUCCUCCAUCCUAGUUGUUAUGUCUAACUAAGGGUGGGUUGGAUUGACCAACAAUCCCACUGAAGUUAUCUCCUUUCGUCUACCCUUCGUUCAACUUGGGCUGUUCAAUCGGUGUUGAAGGUUCUUCACGAUUAUGCCGAAGCAGACGUCUAGUUUCUUCCAUUUGACGAUCCAACAUCAUUUGGAUCAUCGCUUGUACCCCAUCCAUUAUCAUUGGCUCAGGUGCUGCUGCUACAACAGGUGCUUGCUCUAUUACAGGUGGUUGAUUCCUGUUUUUGUUUGCGUUUCCAACUCCACUUCUAGUUCUUUCCAUUUUUGAUCUAUACACCGAAUAAGGUGAAUUUAGAUCCUCAUUCACGAUAGAUAUUUAAAUCAUCCAUAUCACUCUGAAACGUUUACAUGCUAGUUCUAAUACUAUCGUCAUAUGUGACAUCCCCAUUUUUCACGGCCAAAAAAGACCGAUUUUGUUUAUGCUUUAUAAAAAUCAGAGUGCUUCUUUUAAUAAAAAUGUGGCGGAAUUUGUUCCCAGUAAAACAUGAUAAAUACGUUAUCAAAGCAUUUUUGAAGAAAUGUAUUUUUAUUCGUUUUAAAACGUUUGGGAUGUCAUCGUUAAUACAGAAACAUAAGCAUAAACAGAACUUACAUUCAUUAUCACUAGUGAUUUAUAUCUCCUUAAUCUCUCAGUGUAAUGUGACUUUGUAUCAACACUUGUGAUAUAAAUAAACUGAGUGGGUCAGGUUGGGAAACUUGGUGAGUACAUAGGGUUUUCAACCCACAAUAAUAUAAUUAUUAUGUUUAAACAUUUAAACAAUCAACCCAAUUACCCAUCCCCAUUAUCUUCUUUAUUCUACUCUAAGAAUUCAACUAUUCCUCGUUUAUUUAUUCCUAAGGGUUAUCCUAAGGAAUAGGCACGAAAUCCAUCGUUGCCAAGGUUUACUCAAUAGGCACUAAAUCCAUAGUUCCCAAGGUUUAUCUCGUUUAUUGACAGUAUCGUUUCCGAGACUCCUAUCGCAAUACAGGUCAAUGGGUUUUAUCUCGUUUAUCGACUGUAUCGUUUCCGAGAAUCCACUCGCAAUACAUGUCGAUGGGUUUUUAGAGUACACCUGGUGAAUACACAGUUCAAAAAACCUACCGGUUGCGAGCCUGCUAGUGUCCACUGGACUGUCUAGAAUAGUCUGUGGUUGUCAUCCAUACUCUGCUGGAUGACGGGGCCAUCACUUGGGUAAAAGGCUUCUCUCAUAGUUCACCUCUCACCCUUACCUCAUGGUCUAUAUUACCUCUUCAUCAUUUUAUUUUUGUCACACCGAAACUAUUUCAUCUACCCAUGUUUUAUCCCAACACAUUUGUAGAUAUAAGAUAAUUAUACAGUUUAAAUCAUUUAAAACAUGUAUAAAAUCAUUCAUCCAACAUAGACAACAAGUAUUCAGAUAAUAUGCACACAUAGCACGUAAUUUAUGUAAAAUACUUCAUAUCUAUGUGUAAGAUGAAAGGGACCAUGCACUCACCUGAAAAGUGGUGACUCAGCACUCGGACAGCGCUUCGAUACCCUCAAAACAAUUUUCCUUCGAUAAAACCUAGUACCAAUACUACUAGGGUUUAGUCUAAUGAUAACCGCGACAAAUUAAUAGUCUGACUAUUAUUAUUAUUAUAUAAGCGUUAAAUAACACUCAAUAUAACUCAUAAUAAUAGCCUAAAUAAUUAUUUGAAGGAGCUAAUAACAUUACUAUAAUUAUUUGAAAGCUAUAUUAAAAGUUGCGUAAGCGUAGCUCACUUACAACGGAUUUUAAAGAAAAUUGGGCUUUAUUUGGAUCAGCAUUUCGAAACCGAAAGACUCUUUUUUUCUCGGGACUCUGGGAGCCUCGGGGCUUCCUUAGGGUGCUAGGGGAUCACCUAGGCUUAGGGGAGGGUUAAAACCCUUAGAGAGAGAAAGUUUAGAGAGAGAGAGAUAUGAGAAAGGUGUGAGAAAUUCGGAGGAUUUCGGACCCUUUUUAUAGGCGCCAACAGCCUCGGUUAUGCUGGGCGUACCGAGGUUACGCUGGGCGUACACCUCGGAUAAGGUUGCCAGCCGAAGCCAACUGUCUCGCACCGUCGGAUGGAUCAGAUUGGAGCUACGCGGGGCGUAACUUCUUCGGACGCGGAGCGUACUGCGAGGGCGACGUGUCAUGAUCCGAAGCGAAGCCUUGGUCAACAAGAAACGGCCCAGAUGCAGCCACGUCAUCAAUCUCGCAACAUGUCUCACAAAUUUACUUUCCGACUUCUAAAAAUCAUAAAUUUCGCAUACGAGCUCCGUUUUUGACGUUCUUUAUAUCCACGCGAAGGUGGAAACGUACUCUACAACUUUCGUUUAGACUCCGUCAGCUAAUUUUGACUUUAUUUUAAAAUUUAUAUUAUUAACAGGCCGGGACAGGAUUGGUCCGUUAAAUACUCAUAACUUCUUCAUCUGGCGUCCGUUUUCGCCCAUCUUUUUCUCGUUACGCUACUAUUAACAAGAUCUUUGAUUCUCAUUUAGGUCGUGUCGGCUAAAAACCGCUCGAUCUAUUAUUCGAAUUUCGGGUUGUACACUACUAAUCCGAAACUUCGAAAAAUCAUAACUUCCUCAUACGAAGUCAGAUCUGGGCGUUCUUUUUAUGGACGCUCUCAGUUUAACGUAUUCUAUGGCUUUCGUUUAGAUUGCUAAGGAUAAAUCUCUCUCUAUCGUAAAUUCACUAUUUACGCUUCCUGGUGCCGUGCGGGUUCCGUCGCGAAACUUCGACGGGUCAUAACUUCUUCGUUAUAACUUGGAUUUCGGCGUUCUUUAUAUGUACGGAAACCUUGUAACAUAUAAUACAACUUGGUUGAGAUUAUUUAUUCUUAAUAAUAUUUUGUCGAAAAGUUGUUUUCGACCCCUAUUGCCUCUAAAUUGACUAGCCCGGAUCUACGGACGUUACAUCAUACGCUUAGAAUCGUAAACACAUUAGGUCUCCAGAUCCGGUUGGCAACAAACCAUAGAUCUGAAAAAAUAAUAUCAUAUAUGGCAAACAUAUAACAUUUAGCACAUAAAAGCAUUUUAAGCAUCUUUCCUAAAAUAAACUAGUGCUUGUGUUUAAAAUAUAACAGACACUUAUCUCACAAUCUUCACUUAGCAUUCUAAGUUUAAGUCUAAAAAUCCUACAAAUUCCUAGUUCGCUUAAACUAAUGCUCUGAUAUCAACUGUAACAUCCCCAAAUUCACGGCCAAAAAAGACCGAUUUAAUUUAUGCUUUUAAAUUAAAAUCAGCGUAAUCAUUUGAUUAAAAGAGUUGCGGAAUUUGUUCCCAAAACAAAAUAUGGUAAAAAUUUAUCAAAGCAUUUCUUAAAGAAAUGUACUUUCUUUAUAUAACAAAAUCAAGGGAUGUCAUAUUCCGAUACAGACCAAAUGCAUAAACGGCACAUUAUAAGCCUUACAACAAUUAUUUACAAUUAUUGGCCUAUAAUCCAAAAUAUCUUGAUAAGUCAUCCAACUUACGCUUUGGUGCCACUACCUGUAAUACAAAGAAAAACUGAGUGGGUUAGGCUUGGGAGCCUGGUGAGCAUAUAGGGUUUUCAACCCACAAUAAAUAAUUAUAUUAAUUUCAUCAACCAACAAUCACCCGAUUACCUAUUUCCGUUAUCCUCACUUUACGUCCCUAAAACAACUAUCAGCAGGGACCGAGUCUAAGGAUUUUCAUCGGCAUGGACGCUGCUGCAGAGGGGGUUCCUCAACAAUAAAUGUCCUAAUGGCAACCAUGUUGGGGAUAGAGUACACCGGUGAACACAUCGCUCACAAACACCUACAGGUUACGAACUUGCCAGUGAUCUACUAGACUGUCUAUAAAGAGUCUGUGGUUGUCAUCUAUACUCCGCUAGAUGACUAGAUCAACAACAACAUCGAGGCAUCUCAUCAUUUUAUUUCAUCACACNUAUAUAUAUAUAUAUAUAUAUAUAUAUAUAUAUAUAUAUAUAUAUAUAUAUAUAUAUAGACACACACACACAUUCAUAUACAACUUAAAAUCAGUAUAAAAUAUUCAUUCGAUACUCAUUCCAAAUAACAAAUAUAUAUAAACACCUAUCACGUAUUUUAUGGAGAAUAAUUCAUAUCUAUGUGUUAGAAGAAAAUGACUACACACUCACUUUAUAAGACGAUGCUCGGACAACACUUCGGCUCUUAAAGUAAUAUUCUUCGAUGAAACCGGGAUAUCUUUAAAAACCGGGCUUCACAUGGGCAGAGUUUUGGCUCGAAACUCUUUUCUUCUCUGGAUCUUCGAGCGUUGGGACUUGCUUCGGGUGUCGGGUUGAUAUCGGGACUUCGGGGGUGUUUCUUGCAGAGUAGAAGAGAGAAAAAUGGGUGAAAGAUGAGUAAAGUAGCAACCAAAACCGACUGCCCCUUGGUUCUUAUUUAUAGGGUGAAAAUCUGAGAUUCACAUCGUGAACCACAAAUGUUCACGUCGUGAACUCGGUCGUCAUCAGGUGCGUAAUUGCGACUUUAGUCAGUCAGGCUCUGGGAGACGUCAAUCAUCUGUUCAUUUCGUGAAGCUCCUGUUCACGUCAUGAAUCCUGACAAGGGUUAAAGUUCGUGCCCCGAAAUUUAGAAAUUCAUAUCUUUCGUAUACGAGCUCUGUUUUCGACAUUCUUUAUAUCCACGUGUAGGUGAGAUUAUGCUCUACAACUCUCGUUUAGACUCCUUCGGCUAAUUUUGAUUUUGUUUUUAUUAUAUUAUUUUUAGUAGGUCGGGACAUGAAAAGUUCGUUAAUAUUACAUAACUUCUUAAUCCGACGUCCGAUUUCGUCUGUCUUUUUACCGUUGCACUACUAUCGACGAGAUCUUCGAAUUCUCGUUUAGAUUUUCUCGGCUAGAAAUCACUUGAUCUAAUAUUCGAACUUUGGGUUGCAUACUGCUAAGUCGAAACUUCAAAAAAUCAUAACUUCCUCAUACGAAGUUAGAUUUAGACGUUCUUUUGACGCAUGCUCUCGAUUUAACAUAUUCUACGACUUUCGUUCAGAUCGCUAAGGCUAAAAAUCUCUCUAUCGUAAAUUCACUAUUUACGUCAUCCAGUAUCGUAUCGGUUCUAUCGCGAAACUUCUACAGGUCAUAACUUCUUCGUUAUAACUCGGAUUUCGGCAUUCUUUAUAUAUCUGGAAUCCUUAUCACGACCACUUCAACUUCCUUCAUGGAUAUUAGGUUUAUCUAAUAUUUUAUUUUAACGCUUAUUUUUAUCCUUAAUUCAUUUAAGUCACAUAAUUAAGCAUAAAACACAUAAUACUCAAAUAAUACAUUUUUAUUAUUUCAAAACGAGUUACAAAGGUUAACCUAGACUAUUACAUCAUCAUUAAUGCCUAGCCUAGAAACACGAGCGUUACAUUUGCCUUGCCACGAUCCUUAGAAGUACCUGAAACAAAAC
RNAcentral lists this long non-coding RNA (10090 nucleotides) under Lactuca sativa (garden lettuce). Its description in RNAcentral is "long non-coding RNA (LSAT_LNC001867)". Lineage: Eukaryota; Viridiplantae; Streptophyta; Magnoliopsida; Asterales; Asteraceae. The record is from RNAcentral.